RNAcentral lists this ribosomal RNA (253 nucleotides) under uncultured bacterium. RNAcentral describes it as "partial 16S ribosomal RNA". It matches the Rfam family "Bacterial small subunit ribosomal RNA", at positions 524 to 776 of the family's 1533-position model. The record is from RNAcentral.
UACGUAGGGGCCGAGCGUUGUCCGGAGUUAUUGGGCGUAAAGCGCGCGCAGGCGGCCUCGCGCGCCCGACGUGAAAGCCCCCGGCUUAACCGGGGAGGGUCGUUGGGGACGGCGGGGCUUGAGGGCGGGAGAGGUCGGUGGAAUUCCCGGUGUAGAGGUGAAAUUCGUAGAUAUUGGGAAGAACACCGGUGGCGAAGGCGGCUCACUGGCUCGUAUCUGACGCUCAGGCGCGACAGCGUGGGGAUCAAACAGG